GACGAACGCUGGCGGCGUGCCUAAUACAUGCAAGUAGAACGCACAGUUUAUACCGUAGCUUGCUACACCAUAAACUGUGAGUUGCGAACGGGUGAGUAACGCGUAGGUAACCUGCCUGGUAGCGGGGGAUAACUAUUGGAAACGAUAGCUAAUACCGCAUAAUAUUAAUUAUUGCAUGAUAAUUGAUUGAAAGAUGCAACUGCAUCACUACCAGAUGGACCUGCGUUGUAUUAGCUAGUAGGUGAGGUAACGGCUCACCUAGGCGACGAUACAUAGCCGACCUGAGAGGGUGAUCGGCCACACUGGGACUGAGACACGGCCCAGACUCCUACGGGAGGCAGCAGUAGGGAAUCUUCGGCAAUGGACGAAAGUCUGACCGAGCAACGCCGCGUGAGUGAAGAAGGUUUUCGGAUCGUAAAGCUCUGUUGUAAGAGAAGAACGGGUGUGAGAGUGGAAAGUUCACACU
Molecule: ribosomal RNA, 466 nt
Filed under: Streptococcus gordonii
Lineage: Bacteria; Bacillati; Bacillota; Bacilli; Lactobacillales; Streptococcaceae
Description: bacterial SSU rRNA
Rfam family: Bacterial small subunit ribosomal RNA
Source: RNAcentral